AUUGAACGCUGGCGGCGUGCUUAACACAUGCAAGUCGAACGAAGUGGCGAACGGGUGAGUAACGCGUAAUCAACCUGCCCUUCAGAGGGGGACAACAGUUGGAAACGACUGCUAAUACCCCAUACUGAAGGAGUGGAUUGCGUCUGAUUAGCUAGUUGGAGGGGUAACGGCCCACAAAGGCGAUGAUCAGUAGGCGGGCUGGGAGGAUGAACGGGCACAUUGGGACUGAGACACGGCCCAGAAUCAUACGGGAGGGAGCAGUGGGGAAUCUUCCGAAAUGGACGAAAGUCUGACGGAGCAACGGCGCGGGAGUGAGGACGGCCUUCGGGGUGGAAAGCUCUGUUAAUCGGGACGCGGUACCGGAAGAGAAAGCAACGGCUAACUACGUGCCAGCCGCCGCGGUAAUAC
This 408-nucleotide ribosomal RNA is filed under the name uncultured bacterium. RNAcentral describes it as "partial 16S ribosomal RNA". It matches the Rfam family "Bacterial small subunit ribosomal RNA", at positions 29 to 526 of the family's 1533-position model. The record is from RNAcentral.